CAGCCGCCGCGGGAAUACGUAGGGUGCGAGCGUUAAUCGGAAUUACUGGGCGUAAAGCGUGCGCAGGCGGUUGUGUAAGACAGGUGUGAAAUCCCCGGGCUUAACCUGGGAACUGCGCUUGUGACUGCACAGCUAGAGUAUGGCAGAGGGGGGUGGAAUUCCACGUGUAGCAGUGAAAUGCGUAGAGAUGUGGAGGAACACCGAUGGCGAAGGCAGCCCCCUGGGCCAAUACUGGCGCUCAUGCACGAAAGCGUGGGGAGCAAACAGGAUUAGAUACCCCUGUAGUCCCUGUCUCUUAUAC
RNAcentral lists this ribosomal RNA (301 nucleotides) under uncultured bacterium. RNAcentral describes it as "partial 16S ribosomal RNA". It matches the Rfam family "Bacterial small subunit ribosomal RNA", at positions 509 to 807 of the family's 1533-position model. The record is from RNAcentral.